AGAGUUUGAUCCUGGCUCAGAUUGAACGCUGGCGGCAUGCUUUACACAUGCAAGUCGAACGGCAGCACGAGCUUCGGCCUGGUGGCGAGUGGCGAACGGGUGAGUAAUGCGUCGGAACGCGCCGAGUAGUGGGGGAUAACGCAGCGAAAGCUGUGCUAAUACCGCAUACGUACUGAGGUAGAAAGUGGGGGACCUUCGGGCCUCACGCUAUUCGAGCGGCCGACGUCUGAUUAGCUAGUUGGUGGGGUAAAGGCUCACCAAGGCGACGAUCAGUAGCGGGUCUGAGAGGAUGAUCCGCCACACUGGGACUGAGACACGGCCCAGACUCCUACGGGAGGCAGCAGUGGGGAAUUUUGGACAAUGGGCGCAAGCCUGAUCCAGCCAUGCCGCGUGUCUGAAGAAGGCCUUCGGGUUGUAAAGGACUUUUGUCCGGGAGCAAAGCCUACUUGUU
Molecule: ribosomal RNA, 451 nt
Filed under: uncultured bacterium
Lineage: Bacteria
Description: bacterial SSU rRNA
Rfam family: Bacterial small subunit ribosomal RNA
Source: RNAcentral